AUGGCUUGUAAUUACAAGAGGAACAGAAUCAGCAAAGUUGUUAUCAGAUGGAAUAAAUAUCUGUGGAGUGGAUCUUAGUUUGAGACUACGUGUAGGAAAGCAUGAAUUCCAUGUAUAACAUUAUGAUAUGACUAGUCGGAAGACAUUGCCACCAAGAGGGACGAACCAAAAGUGAAGCAGGGGGACGCUAAUUGAACAUUUGAGAAAUGUUGUCAAACAAGGUGAAAAGUAGAUGGGACUCAAACUGCUCAACUGCAGUCACUAAUUGAACAUUUGGGGAAUGUUGUCAAACAAGGUGAAAAGUAGAUGGGACUCAAACUGCUGAACUGCAG
Molecule: long non-coding RNA, 332 nt
Filed under: Nicotiana benthamiana
Lineage: Eukaryota; Viridiplantae; Streptophyta; Magnoliopsida; Solanales; Solanaceae
Description: long non-coding RNA (NBEN_LNC032101)
Source: RNAcentral